AAGGCCUUUAAAUCAACCCUGAGAGGUUGGCAAGGUGACGGAUCGUAUAAUAAGGUAUAAAAGAUUUUUAUAAAUCUUUUAUAGAGUGUAAGCUUGUAACUAUUCGGAGAUAAUAAAUAUGAAGCCUCUCAGCCGGUUUGGUUGGGAGGCUUUUUUGG
Molecule: regulatory RNA element, 158 nt
Organism: Caldanaerobius fijiensis DSM 17918
Lineage: Bacteria; Bacillati; Bacillota; Clostridia; Thermoanaerobacterales; Thermoanaerobacteraceae
Rfam family: PyrR binding site
About the family: This family represents the PyrR binding site and terminator structure. This RNA structure is found upstream of a variety of genes involved in pyrimidine biosynthesis and transport.
Source: Rfam